Molecule: long non-coding RNA, 639 nt
Organism: Lepidothrix coronata (blue-crowned manakin)
Lineage: Eukaryota; Metazoa; Chordata; Aves; Passeriformes; Pipridae
Exons: 5
Source: RefSeq, a predicted model, not a curated record
GCAAUAAUAUACAGUGCCUGAGUUAAGAGGUGACUGUUAUCACAGAUAUCAAGCUCUUCUGGAAGUUCUCUGUUUCCUGCACUGUUUCUGGUUUGGUGCAGCCCUGGACAAUGUCAGGGAUGUCGUGUCACCACUUGAAGAUCUCAGGAAGGACAAAUCAAUUUUGAAGGAUGCCAAUGCUGUACCACAUUAUACCAUUUAAACCAUGUCACUCAUCCAAAAGGAAAAAUGCCCGAUAAUCUGUAAUAUGAAGCUAACUAAUUUAUCCACAGAGGCAACACUACAUGCUUGACUGAUAAGCAGCUUCUGUCUCCUGUGGCCAAUGGGACUGAUAACUCCAGGCUUUGUGACGGACCAAAUCCUUGCUCUCCCCAGUUCCUUGGGGCUGAAGGUGCUCACCCACACUGACAGUUUAGACCCCCUGGCAUCGCGCCGAGGAGCUGCGGAACCAGAGUACACCUCGGGCCCAGCUGGGUGGCCAUCACUCGCCCUCCCAGGGUCCCCGCGGUGAAGGCUCUGUGAGGGCCGCGGCUGCGGGGGCCACACAGGCGUCACCGCGGUUGGGAUGGAUCCACAGGGAUGUGUGUCCCUUGUGACUGAUGCCGGGGACAUGACUGCUGUGCGGGAUGGACCUCUGGG